RNAcentral lists this long non-coding RNA (516 nucleotides) under Gossypium barbadense (sea-island cotton). RNAcentral describes it as "long non-coding RNA (GBAR_LNC017351)". Lineage: Eukaryota; Viridiplantae; Streptophyta; Magnoliopsida; Malvales; Malvaceae. The record is from RNAcentral.
UUGUAGAAGGAUGAAACUGAGAUCAGUUUCGGAAUCAAAUCUCAAAUUUGAAAGUUAUAGCAAUUUCGAUUUUAGGGACUAAAUUCAAAAAAAUGCAAAACUUUAGGGAAUUUUUGAAAAUAAAAUUUAAACUUUCAUAUGCAAAUUAUAGGAUGAAAUUAAGUAUUUUAUAUUGAUAAAUUGCGUUGAAUUAUCAUAUAGAUCGAGAUUUAAACCAGUUAGAGGAUAACCGCGAAAAGGGAAAGUUGCAAAUUAGUAUUUGACAUCUUAUUAAUUGUUGUUUUUUCUAGGUAAGUUCAUGUGAAAGUUACUAUUUUAAUUCUUGUUAAGUUUAUAUUAUAUUAAUUUGCUUGCUAGUUGAAUUGUUAAGAAAACAAUGAUUUUUGGAAUCAAAAGGACUAAAUCGUAAAGUAUGAUGUAUGUGACAAAUACGAACUAAUACCAACCCCUACAACAAUCACUCAUAGUAGACCCAUUUCAAUGCUUAGUAAUACUAUUUCUGCCAAUGGCCUUAGU